RNAcentral lists this ribosomal RNA (451 nucleotides) under uncultured bacterium. RNAcentral describes it as "partial 16S ribosomal RNA". It matches the Rfam family "Bacterial small subunit ribosomal RNA", at positions 28 to 523 of the family's 1533-position model. The record is from RNAcentral.
GAUGAACGCUGGCGGCGUGCCUAAUACAUGCAAGUCGAACGAGGUCUUCGGACCUAGUGGCGAACGGGUGAGUAACACGUUGGUACCUACCCCGAAGUGGGGAAUAACUGCCCGAAAGGGUGGCUAAUACCGCAUAAUACCGCAAGGUUAAAGCAGUAAUGCGCUUCGGGAGGGGCCUGCGUCCCAUUAGCUAGUUGGUAGGGUAAUGGCCUACCAAGGCGACGAUGGGUAGCUGGAUCGAGAGGUUGACCAGCCACACUGGGACUGAGAUACGGCCCAGACUCCUACGGGAGGCAGCAGUAAGGAAUCUUCCACAAUGGACGAAAGUCUGAUGGAGCAACGCCGCGUGCAGGAUGACGGCCUUCGGGUUGUAAACUGCUUUUAUAUGGGAAGAUUAUGACGGUACCAUAUGAAUAAGGACCGGCUAACUACGUGCCAGCCGCCGCCGUAA